Ostrea edulis (European flat oyster) is the source of this 12872-nucleotide long non-coding RNA. RefSeq lists it as uncharacterized. The record is from RefSeq and is a predicted model, not a curated record. NCBI's taxonomy places the organism in Eukaryota, Metazoa, Mollusca, Bivalvia, Ostreida, Ostreidae. The transcript is spliced from 8 exons.
CACACAACACACACACACACACAAGUGAUCGCAUUCAACUGCCCGGUUUUACUCGCUACACAAGUGAUUACGUAGAAGAGUCCUCCACGAGCACUUUACCACUUAAUACUGAAUGAAUUCAGUCGAUCCUGUCCAUAUAUGGAGUUAAUCAGGGCAUGACGCAUCAAUUUCUUUCGCUGAAUGCAGCAGACACGACGCGGGUUGACCUAGAUAAUCAGGAUCCCCAUCUGUCCAGGAUAGAAGCGCACUAGGACCCUCCCCUCUCUAAACCACAUACUCUUUGUCGACAGAAUGAUAGAAACCUUGCGAACGUGGUUCAAAUAGAAAAGUCUGAAAAUAGUGAAGGGGGUGUGAUCACUGUUAUUGUACGUCUUCUUAAUUAAUUUUUUUUUUUAUUCUCCUCCCUCUAUAUUUACUUAAUAUGCAUGUUUGUGUGUAUGUGUUUAAUGAGUUGUUCAUUGUAUGUAAAUUCAUAUAACUCUGUGCUUUGUCCGGUUUCUCUAAGAUAAAGGGUGGCACGAAAAUCUAGGAAGAUCUUUUGACUAUUUCAUACCAAAGAAUGUUCAUAAUAACCCAUUUCCGAUCAUUCAGGGCUAUCAAGAUAAAAUCGCUCGGACAACAAUCGAUUCUUGUUUGCUUUUCCACCCUUGGUAAUAUUUGGUCCAGUAUUUAUAGAAAUUCAACUUUUGAUUUAUCAUUACAAUCUCAGAAGUCUCUCUUAUUUCUAAACUUCUAUUUUUCUAGAACUAGUAAAACGAAAUUAAAUGACUAACGCAAGAUUAAAGUUGUAUUAUUCCAUUUAGAAUUGAACAAAAAUCAGAAUCAAAUCAGUUAAAUGAUAUCAGAGAUCGCACUUACAAUUUUGUCGUAAGAUCAGGUUUGUAUCGGUUAAUGCGUGUUGGUCUGUCAGACCGCUAGAAUGUCUAACCUUUUGGUUGAUUAACUGAUUUUAUUAAUAACAUAGAAAAAUUUAUUUUCCAAAAUUGUUUUCUUUGCGCUCGAUAUAUUUUUUAUUCCAGAUUCCAAAAUGGCGUUUUUAUCACGAGCAGUCCACUACUGGUAGACCUAAAAACAAAACACAUGAAUUUAGGGGGGAAAAGUAGCUGUCGACUUAGAUGUUCAAGCACGGCACUUUUACUUUAAGAACAUUAAUCAAAGUCCACUGAGUUAGUAUGUAAAUAGGUCAUCGACUCCUCACGUGAGGAUGAGCGUAUUGAUGUUUUGUAUCGUCAUUGGAUAAAUGGAAUCCUUGAAAAAUAGGGCCCAAUAAAAAAAAAAAAAAAACACCCAGAAACUCCAAUUAGGAAAAACAUUAAAGGGACGUAACUGGUAUGAAGCGGUGACUCAAAGCAAUUGAAUAUGUAUAGGAAAGGGUUUGAUAGGAAAAAAAUCCUUGUUAAUAAACGAUCUCAAUUCAUUGCUGUAUUACAGAGAUAAAGCUUAUAGGAGAUUAGUUCUGGGUUUUUUUUUAAACUGGUUGCUUGGUUGCAAUAAUUCUGACAUAGGUGUAUUUAUCGCAUUCCUAAUAAUGUUUUUUUUUUAUUUUGUCCGUAAUAUAUCGAAUUUUCAAUUAAUUUGUUGUGAAUACAUCACUAUUGUUUUAAGGAAAUUUAGCCAAUAAUUCACAAAAGAAAAAAAUCCGAACAUAUUGUAGGCGUAUGAAUACAUUGUUCAUUACCAGUCACAAGAAAUAUCAAAAUGGAAGUUAAUUUAAAAAGUCAAAUUUCCCUGAUAGGUGGACAGAAACCAAUGGUACUAGCAGACCAGCAAUGGUGGUUAAGCCCGGGCCGCUUGUGUUAAUGAACAUAUGACGUACGGUGCAGUACUGAUGGAGACUGCCGCUGUUUAAAGUGUUCAGAAUUCAGAAGUAUGUUCGAUGUUUGUGCUUGGAUGUUAAAUACCGUGUGUAGUUUGCAUUCCAUGAGUCUACUACACAAAAUAGUACACAAUGUAACGGCCUAGUGUGGGUCGUAAUUGGACGUACACUUAUCGAGUAUAUUGUUUUAGUUCCUGUGAGGCAAAUGUGGAGGUCACGUGACUUCCGGUCGCUCUCUGAUUGGUCAUUGACACUGUUAAUCACAUGGACGUUUUGAAUAACCAGGAAGAUUUUUGGUUCCUCUGAUAACUAGAUGGUUUGAUUUCCUCCCCUAUGCUGUAAUUCAGUAUAAUAUAUCUUCGAUUUUCUGCCUACACAUGACGGGCCGCUGAAUAUGGUUAGUAUUUGAUGGGGGGAAAAUAAUUCUUUGCAUACUGGUCCUUAGAGAGCACUGCGAAUGUCAGACAACGAUGUGAUAAUUGUCCGAAUUACUGGCAUCCUUAGCGCGUUGUAUUUGCAUAAUUAUGAAUAUAGAUUCUUAAAUCUAAAGAGCUUAGGCGUCAUAAUUGUGCAAAGUCAUAUUUUAGAAAUAAUUGGUGUCGAAAAUAUACGAUUGAAUUGCCUCAGUUUGGUUGAAAUGAUUCAGUUUCUUUAUUUCCGUGAGCCAUGUGGCUCAUUGGAUUCACAAACACAUAUGUAUACACAGACAGUACAGUAAAUAUAAAGAUACAAUAUAUAAUGAAAUAUGGUAUACUUUGGUAUUUGGUUAAUGCCAACAAAACAGUCACAUGUAUAUAUAUCAAGAAUUUGCAUGUAAAUCAUCAGAAAGCGUGUUAAUUUCUGGAGACGUUGAUUUUAAGUAAAAUAUAUCUUAGCAAAAAGAAAAAUGAAAAAUACAAUUACAACUCCUCUUAAACAGCAAGGGAGCUAAGACAAGCGGAAGUUGUUCGGUCACGUGGUAUGCUGUAAUAUAUGAUACUUCCUGUUAGACAAAUAAUUACAAAGGAGUGCGCAAAAUGGUGUUUCCGGUAGAGCAAUCUCUGGGUACUUGACUUGACUUGUGGGAUGUUGUCCCUGUGAAAGCAGCUAAAGAAAUGAAGGCAAACAUGAGCUAAGUACUAAUGUGACUCCGGGGACGCACGGUGCUACAUUUAAACCUCGAUUUUCUGAUGCAGACAAAAUUAUGAUAAAAUCCUCGCCUCACGUCGUGAAUGGCAGGCCCAAAUCCAAGAGCCGAUUCUUCUGUGUAAUCCGCCAUUAGAGGCCCGUCCCGGACACAUGGCCCACUAAUCAUGAUUUCCUGUGGAAUUUAGUGUCACUGUUUAAAGUCACUGAUGUUCAAUCGGAGUGCAAGCUUGAUGCGGGGGAAAGAAAAUCGGGAAUCGGAAGAAUAAUUCUAACUGGAAAUUUAGAUACCAUUGAGAGCAGUGUGUCCGCGUAUAGAAGCUGGAACUCAGUGACGGCGAGAGAUUUUUUUUUUUUACAGUAAGUGACGCUCUGUUAUUUCAUUCAAGCAUGAGAUUUCGAUUAUCGAAAAAAAAAAAAGUAAUUAAAUGAAGCAAGCUUAUAUCCAAUCGAUUUGUCAUAUAUAGGCCUAUUAUAUGUAUUUAAUGAUUAUGCUAAAAAAAAAUAAUAAUGUAUUUUCACAUCAGUGAAAUCUCUUUUUAUAACAAAUGAGUACAAAUACGUCGAUAUUUCAUAUCUUCAAUCAAAUGGAAAUAACCCUGAAAAACUUGUAAAACGGCACCUGUCCCCUUUUCCCGCCACACCUACACAAUAAACUUGGUCACCCCUUCAGUUGAUCUAUUGUGAACUAACCCAACGACCUCCAUGUGAUAUUAACCUCAUGAUUUGAUUGGCUAUGUUACCGGAUAUUGUAAAGGUCAUGACCUUCUUCACGUCACAUUUGUCCGCGAAAUGCUUGCGGAGCACCAUGUGACAUUGUUCGGGACAGUUGAAUGGAUCAGGUUGACAUUGACAUCACUUCCUUAGCAAUGCAGCAGCUUCCAUGGCAAUGCAGCAACAUACUGGUGGAUGAGUUCACAAAGGGACAGUAUUGGUGAUGGAUCCGAUGACCAAGUAUUCAAUCAUUUCAGAUGGGUUUGCUGAGAGGACAACUCCAUGCACAAGCUGUUUUGUCGGGUUUAAUGAGAGGACAACUCCAUGCACGAGCUGUUUUGUCGGGUUUGCUGAGAGGACAACUCCAUGCACGAGCUGUUUUGUCGGGUUUAAUGAGAGGACAACUCCAUGCACGAGCUGUCCAUGAUGACGUUGAAAUGUGGUCACUGUGAUAGUGGGGUAAGUUUGAUGGUAAGUUACCAGACGAGGAAAUCUGAUGAGCUGUUAGUAUUGAAUGCGUUAGCAACUGUGCAAUUGCAGUAAUUUUUCUUAGAAAAACUUUUAUCGAUUCGAUACUUUCUUCAAAAAAAAAAAAAAAAAAAAAAAAAAAGAAGAGAAACCCAAUAUGAUGGAUUUUCAUUGCUUUUGUUUCCUUAAGUGAUUGAAACCCUAGUGAUCACUGAUGGAAAUUGUUUAAAGGGGAAAUUUUUCUUUGAAGAGUUAAAACCCAGGUGUAGUGAUUGCAAAAUCAAAGAUGGAAAUGUUUGUAAUGCGCCAAGUGAAAAUCUCUUUUUAUGGUUUCUCAAUCACAGUGCAUUGCAAAUUUUUUUUAAAAUUAGAAGUAGAAAGGAUUGUUUUAGAUCAGGGGUGGUAAAGAACAGCUGGUCAGAUAUCAGUCUACAUUGACCCAAAUAACCCUGGGCCCUUAUCAGUUCAUCGUCCAAAUUCCAAAUGUGUGGAUCUAAGAGUUUUGUAUGGAAACUGAUGGUGGAUCGAAUGUCUGUGUGAAAAGUGGGAGUGGCUGAAUAGUGGGAAAAGUCUUGAUGAAUGUGUGGAUGUAAGAAUUAAAGGGAUGGUAUUAGUAUAAUUCAAUGGAGAGGGUAAGAUUUGAUUGGUAGAUGUUAAAGUGCAGAUGCAAGGGUUAUAGCUGUGUAAUGUGAAUGGAAUGUUUACAUGUGAUUAUGGGGUGUAAAAUGGAAUGUUUUUGUGUGAUCGUGGGGUGUAAAAUGGAAUGUGAUGGUGGGGUGUAAAAUGGAAUGCUUACGUGUGAUCAUGGGGUGUAAAAUGGAAUACUUGCGUGUGAUCGUGGGGUGUAAAAUGGAAUGCUUACGUGUGAUCGUGGGGUGUAAAAUGGAAUGUUUUGUGUAAUCAUGGGGUGUAAAACUAAUUGAAUAUUUAGAUAUGAUCAUGGAAUUGUACUAAGAAGAUUGUGAUGUUGGAUGAAAAAGGAAAUGGGAUGAAAUUUCCAUUGGACGUCUUCGUAUAACGGUUACGCCUCCUUAUCACUUGUUCGUCGCAGUUGCUAUGUAUACACUGGACGGAGAACUGAUAAGGGCAUGUGACCAAGCGUUCUUCUGAUGCAGACUUUAGAUCCGUCACGUGGACGAUGCGACAUCUUGUUCCGGUAAAAUAGUGAUUUGUGUACAGUAUAAAUAAAUGAAAGAUGCAAUGCAAUCGUGUCUUGGUUUUGUUUAUUGGAUUAGAGUCGUCAGAUGGGAAUAAUUUAGACGGGAUUUAGGCGUUAUCCACGUCAGCUCUUUUUCACUUUAGCGAUGAGGGUUCUAUAUCUGUGUGGUCCUGGUGAAGAAAUCGAUUCACAGACUGGAAUAAGCUGCAGAUAUCAGCUGACUGUAAGGAUGGUGAAGAUUUAUGUAUUAUAGCUGUUUUUAAGUAGUUCUGUCUGCCGUUUUACGACUGUUCGUAAUCGACACGGAAAAUACUCGAUUAUGUGUAAUACCAAUACUUUGGGUGUGGGGUAUUGAGCUGCGGUUUAAAUUUCGCUACAGUACGAGUUGAAUUGAAAAUGGGAAAUAUCUUUUCAAUAUUUUUGGUGCAAAGAUUUACCAGAUGAAUGUAGUGUAAAAGCCCCAUCGGAUAGUGUUGAUUCACUCGCAUAUUUUGGUCUUCAGAGUAAUAUCGGGUAACCUUAUGCAACUGAUUUACACGUGUCUUGCGCUUACAAUGGAACAUUUAUUUUUAUGCCCCCCAGAUGAAGGACGGGGGACAUAUUGUUUUUGUCCUGUCUGUAUUUCUGUCUUCCUGUUUAAAACUUUAACCUUGUUAAUUACUUUUGAACAGUAAGUGCUAGUGCUUUGAUAUUUCACAUGAAUAUUCCAUGUGACAAGACCUUUCAGUAGGUACCAAUAUUUUUUACCCUUGACGUUGGAGUUUGACCUACUUUUUGAAAACUUUAACCUUGCUAAUAACUUUUGAAACAGUAAUGCUAGAGCUUUGAUAUUUCACAUGAGAAUAUUUGUGUUUCACAAACGCAUCUUAUUUACUUCUUGAUAACGGACAUUCCAAUUCUUUUCAAAUUUGGUAUGAAACGUCUCUUGGACAAGACAAAAUUGCCCAGUUUUCAAAAAUCUCCACAACCUCCAAAUGAACAAGAUCCGCGAGAAAGACGAUAAAAAACAUGCUGUCAAUCAAUCCAUCUACAACCACAUGUGUUAUAUGGGACACUCGAGAAUUUUUAUGAUUCCCGAAAAUUUUCUGAGAAGCAUGUUCGUCCGAGCUCGCAUCUCCUAAACCUCCCAUCAGAUAUUUAUAUAAUGAAUAAAAAAAAAAUUCAUACACGAGAACCAUUAGGCCAGAGAAGGUUACAUUCACACGAAAUUUCCUGACAAAGUGCAGAUUCAAAUUUGUAAAAAGCAUGGUCCCCGGCAGUAGGUCGGGGCCACAGUAGGGAACAAAGUUUUAUAUGCAAAUGUGAUGGGGGAAAAUCUUUAAUUGUGGGCCAAGUCAGGUGAACGAUAUGGACUUGUUUAAUUUAAAGUUCCCAUCUUUUAAUUCUUUCAUAAUUUUUUUAAUUAAAAAUAUUCCUUUUGGACCAAGAUCAUUUUGGAAAGGUUUAGGUCACUCAGAACAUUUACCUUAUAUAUGUAAAAGUUCUUUAUUUCAACAGUUUUUUGAAAAGGGAUUAACCAUAUGUCGCCCAAAUAAGUAUGGGCAAAUGGCUUUCAGAUAAAGGUCACUAAGAUCAUUUUUAAAGGUCAAGGUCACACAACAUAUACCAUAUAUAUGAAAAAUACUUCAUUUCAAAAAUAUUUCAACAAUUAAUGUUAUGAACCAAGAUUUACUCAAGGUCAUUUUGAAAGGGUCAAGGUCACUUAGAAUAUAUACUUCAUAUACAGGAAAAGUGCCUCAUUUCAACAGUUUUUGAAUAGGUAUUAAUAAUAUACCACACAAAUAAGUUUAUUGAUAUUUUCCGCCACACUCAACAAUUUUUCAGUUAUCUGGUGGCGCCUAGUUAGCUCACCUGAGCUAAAAGCUCAAGUGAGCUUUUAUGAUCACCCGUAUUCCGGCGUCUGUCCGUCCGUCUGUAAACUUUUAACAUUUUUGACUUCUUCUCAAAAACCACUGGGCCAAUUUCAACCAAAGUUAGCACAACACAUCCUUAGGUAAAGGGAAUUCUAAAUUUGUUAAAAUAAAGGGCCAGGCCACCUUCCAAGGGGGAGAUAAUCAAGAAAAGGUAAAAAUAGGGUCAUUAAAAAAUCUUCUCAAGAACCACUGGGCCAGAAAAGAUGAAAUUUAUAGAUAAGCUUUAUUAGGUAGUGCAAAUUCUAAAUUGUUAAAAUCAUGGCGGGGGGUUGGAUGGGACCACAAGAGGGGAUCAAAGUUUUACAUACAAAUAUAUAGGAAAAAUCUUUAAAAAUCAUCUUCUCAAGAACUACUGAGCCAGAAAAGCUGAGAUUUAUAUGAAAGCUUUCUGACAUAGUGCAGAUUCAAGUUUGUUCAAAUCAUGGCCCCUGGGAGUAGGAUGGGGCCACAAGGGGGAUCAAAGUUUUACAUACAAAUAUGUAGGAAAAAUCUUCUCAAGAACCAUCGGGCCAAAGAAGUUCACAUUUACAUGAAAGCUUUCUGACAUAGUGUAGAUUCAAGUUUGCAAAAACCAUGGCCUCCAGGGGUAGGUUGGGGCCAUAAUAGGGACUACGGUUUUACAUGCAAAUAUAUAUGGAAAGUCUUCUGAUAUGGACCAAGGUGAGCGAUGUGGCCCAUGGGCCUCUUGUUUUUAUUGGUGGAAGAGAGAACUCAGAUACAAUAUACAUGGGAAGAGACCACCGACCUUCGGAAAGUAAACUGGGGAAACUUCCUCAAUUACCGGCGCGAGCGGGAUUCGAACCUGCGCCGACAGAGGUGAGAGACCGUGUGAUGAUGAAUAAUGGGGAAUAGGGAAAUGACUUUCAGACAAAGGUCAUUUAAAGUAAACGUCACUCGACAUAUCCCUUAUAUAUGAAACAGAAACUUACAUUUCAACAGUAAUUGAUUAUUGUGCGAGUCAUUUGUCAUCUGAAGUAGUUCAUUAGUUCAAUGUAUUGUGAGGAGUGGUGGUCUAGAGGUAGAGCGUUCGCGCCGAAUGCGGGAGGACGGGGUUCGAAUCCCAGCCGCGAUAGACCUAAGUCGUUAAAACUUAGGAACAAUAGAAUAUGUACAUUGUGAUUUAAAGGACGUAGAGGAUGAGUUUCACUUUAUUUUGAAAUAUCCAAAAUACCAAGAAAUACGCAAUUUAUAUAUCAAAAAGUAUUAUUAUAGACGUCCAAGCGUUUUCAAAUUAAUUCAAUUAUUAAGUGUACAAAAUGUUAAAGAAUUGCGAAACUUAGGAAAUUUUUUAUUCCUAGCAGGGAAAAUAUGAAAGGAUAAUUCAUAAUUGUAAUUACACCCCAUUUCUUUUUCUCAUUUAACACAAUUUUUUUUCUUCUAUUUUUAUUUUCAUACAACUCUCACGCAAUCACCUAUAUUACAAAUAUUAUCUUUUAUACUUAUAUGUAUGUGUAUGCUGAUCUAUAGCUCUGAUUAUGUGUAUGUUGUUCACCUUAUAUUUCAUUAUGUAUAAAAUUGUAUAUCUGAUGUGCCAUGUGCCAGAUGGCACAAAGAAAUGAACUGAACUGAAAACAGGUAGUGACAGUUCCUUCGCCAAACGAUCGGUAUCGGGUGUGAAUGUCACGGGUCCUCGGAGAUGAUCUUAAAACCGGAUGUUCCAUGACACGCCAAAGAACCUUUAAUACUCAAUGGCCGUAAACACCGAGCAUAUGCCUAAAUUUGCAACCCUUCACCGUUCUUGGUGACGUCUCUAUAUGAGUGAAAAAUUCUCGAGGUACACAAGAUACAAUCAAUCGGGGAGCACCCAUCAUUUUUACUGAUAUCCUUGGUUUCACUCGUGGAGACGUCACUAUUGCCGGCGAAGGGCUACAAAUUUUAGGCCUAUGCUCGGCGCUUGCGGCCUUUGAGUAGGGAGGGAUCUUGAUCGCACCACACCUGCUGUGACAGGGGACCUCGGUUUGUGCGGUCUUAUCCGAAAUACCGUCCCAUUUAGUCACCUCUUAUGACAAGCAAGAGGUACUGAGGACCUAUAGUAACCCGGGACCACAUGUGUUAGAAAAACUAAAUGUUAAGUAAUGAAAGGUGAAGAUAACGAACAGUGAUCAAUCUCAUAACUCCUAUAAGCAAUACAAAAUAAAGCGUUGGGCAAACACGGACACACUAGAGGUGGGAUCAGGUGCCUAGAAGGAGUAAGCAUCCCCUGUCGACUGGUCACAUCGUCGAGCAGGAAGGCCUCCACCAAAAUUGUGAAAUUUUGUGAUCUCGGAGUAGAGGAUUUGACUCCAGGGCGGGACUAACAUUUAAAAAGGGUGAAGCAUUUAAAAUCCAUCAUACUAAAUUGAAACUAUCUGUAGUAGUUACACAUUAGGUUUUAGUUGGUUAUGUACAGAAGGACGAGGGUGGGUCAAAAAUGACAUUUUGACCCGCCCCCGUCCUUCUGUACAUAGCCAAUUAAAACCCAUUGUGUAAGUCACAUGUAUCAGAGCCAAACAAGGUAUCUUGCACGUGCAAAAAGAAAUUUUGGCUCCUCAUUUCCCUCUUAGAAGUGAAUGUGGACGAUUGAUAAAUCGGAAAAAUGGACGUGGACGAUACCUGCGAGGGUUUAUUUGAUUUGGGGUGCCUAUAGGACACUACAAUUGACGAUGUUACUCGGAUGUCGACAACAGGCGACCAUAUUCCGGAUAUUCUGUCGUUUUCGGCAGAGGAACUUAAUUUUUGGCUGUCAAGAUUUGUUGUUGAAACGCGACGCAAGGAUGGCAAGACUUACCCUCCCAAAACACUUUACAUGCUUUGUACUGGACUUUUAAGACAUCUGCGAGAAAAUGGUGUGCAUUCGAAUUUUCUAGAUGAGAAGAAUUCCCAAUUUUACGAUUUCUGGAAGGCCGAGUCGAUUUCUGAAGAGGCAGAGAAAGUUCUUUGGGAGAAGGGUCUCCUCUGCAACAGUACAGCAGAAUCUAUGCUAAACACUGUCUUUUUCUACAAUUGCAAACGUUUUGGCUUGAGAGCUGUUGACGAACACAAAACAUUAUCCGUAGACCAGUUUGAGCUGCGUCAAGACCAAAAAGGCAAGUUUAUAAAUUUCACAGGACGGGCAAACAAGACAUGCAAAGGGUGGAUUGUAUCAAAGACAUGUGAGCGCGAAAUCUACAAGACAUCACUUCAGGGCGAAAAAGUAUAUAAUAUCUACAAAGAAUACAGUGUACUUCAAUCUGGUGGUGGUUAAUUAAAAAAAUAACCGAUCUUACCGGCGACCAUUGGCUAACGGAGAAAACAAUGAAGUUCGUUUCGGUGUACAACCCAUUGGAGUCAACAAAUUAUCUACAGUUAUGAAAAAUAUGUGCGAUAAAGCCAGAAUUCCCGGAUUCUUCUCUAAUCAUUCCGGUAAACGCACUUGCGCAACCGCUCUCUACCAAGACGGGGUACCAGAACAGGAAAUCAUGGACCGUACAGGCCACAGAUCUAUAGAGAGUGUCCGUAAAUAUAAGCGUCCGAGUGAGGAGAUGCUUUGUGAUAUUUCCAACGCAUUGGAACCAAAUGAACCGAUGGCGACAAUGAGCAAAGAGGCAAAAACCUUGGACGAAAUUGAAAAUCCAAAGUAUGGAGAUUGCGAGUGUAAAAACACAUUCACCAAUUGUUAAGUAUAUUUCAACCUUUGAAAAGCGUUUUCGUUGUGAAUUAUUUUUCAUUCCGUUUCAUUGUGGACAUUUCUUUUUUAUUUAUUUAUUUUUUUUUUUUUGCCUAGGAGGCAAAACAUGCACUAAAAUGUAUGUCAAUUUGUUGAUUAGAAUUGAGGAAAAGGAACCAAAUGUAAUUUUUUAAAUGUACCUUUGCAAUGAAUAUUAAAGUUGGGAAUUUAUGCAAAUGAUUUACGUCAUGAUUUUGUUACAGCAGUUACCGUAUGCCACGCCUAUUGGGUAUCAAUGGUUAUGUACAGAUACCCACAGCUAAGAUCAAAAGAAAAUCACCGCUGCUAUUGUACAUGAAUAUUUAGAAUGAACAGGUAGCCGUUUACCAAAGUUGUAAAUGUCGUGAUCCCAGGGGUAGGGGUUUCAGUAUCAGGUAGGGGUCAAUGUGGUCAGUGAUGAAAUGUGUUAAGAAUUGGUCAUUUUUAACUCCUUGAUAACUACCAUUCCAAUUCUUUUCAAAUGUGUUAUGAAACAUCUUUGGGAUAAGGAUCCUGUUUCCCUAGGGGCGCGGGAAAUCUGUCAAAAAUCAACCAAUUUUCAGAAUUUUUUUCUACAACCGCCUAUCUCUAGGAUAAACUAAAUGGAUAUUGAUGUAGAGCAGGAAACUCUCUAUCACAAUUGUAAAUUCCAUGACCCCCAGGGUAGAGGUCCUGACUCCAGGACGGGACCAAACUUGGUAUAUACAGUUUGGGCGGGAGAAAUUUAAAUUUUUGUUUUACGGAUUCGCCGACUCAUUGUUUUCCGAUUUCCAAAAUUUAAAGUCAGAAAAAUCCGGAAUUUUCAUAUCCACCCAUGUUUGAUUUUAAACUUAUCUUUCUUAAACUAAAAUCAGCAGAACGUUUGACACUGCUAAGCCUUCUCAUUGUCCUGUGCAACCAGACGCUCUGCUUUCUCCGUAAAUAUCCGACGAACAGAUAGUCUGGUAGAGACACGCGAUAACGAUUGUAAGGUCAGAACGAGGCUUACCAAAAUAUCGGUAUUUAAUUUGAUUGGUUGAUUCAAUUCACAAAACACCUCCAAAAUAACGACUACCGAAGAAAUUUGUCAUAGAUUGAAUUUGUCGUUUAAGUUUAAGGAUUUACAGCUAGAGUGUUUAUAAAAACUUUUGUAAAAGGAAAGGAUCAGCUCGUCGGAGAUUUGCGGAGACAGCCGAGUGUCUGGUUGAACGAGACUAAGCCUUCUCAUGGAAUUAUAAGCGUCUAUUUCACACGGAAUAUAAACCAAAAUGGAGACGUAAGUCGUGCUUGGUUUGGUUGGCCAGAUUAUUCUGAAGAUAAAAUUUGUAAAUCAUCAGCAUCCUAGCACUCAGAAAUAUCCUAAUUUAUUUAAGUCCUACACUUUUGAUAUAGCGUUUGGUCAGUUAUUUGCAUUGCAUUUCACGUAGUUCCACACUCCUGUGACGUCAUAGGAUUUUGCAAAGUCAAUGAUUUAAUGAUAGGAACAUAAAUUUUGUUGGAAUCUUUUUCAUUAGUUAUUGCAAAAAAUCUUGUUAGCCAUAAAAUAUUUCAAAAUUCUUAGUUAUAUUUGAAUAGUCAAUGAUAUGUUUUAAAAUAUUGAAUCCAAGGACAAUAACUCUGUUUUCAUUCAAUUAUUUAUCAAGUCCAUAAUCCUUCAUUUUUGACAAACAUUUUACCAAAGUGAUAAGGAAUCAUUAUCUGUGUCUUUUCAUGAAAUUACAUAAAAUUUUAAUCCCGAGUGAUUUUAAAUAGCUCAGCUGUAUGGUGCCAGACUUCAGUUUUUGAUGGGGGGUAUACAUAAUCUGGAAGCUAUAGAUUUGAAAUUAUUAAGGAAAGGUAUGGAUUUUUCCCCAUGAAUAACUAUAACAGAUGUAACUCUACUAAUAUAAACAGAAAAAAUGAUAUGUAAACCAUGCUAUUAAGGAAAAUGCGUCCACAUUUGUUUGUUUUUUAACAUUUUGGGGAAUAACGAUAAUUCAAUAAUUUUGCACAUAUUAUUCUAAAACUUGAUGAACAUAUUGAAAAUGACAUGUG